GGUCGGGUAGCCUAGUGGUUAGAGCGUCCGCCUUGGAUGCUGAAAGUCGUGGGUUCGAUCCCAGGCCAAGUCA
Non-coding RNA from Potamilus streckersoni, 73 nucleotides. Lineage: Eukaryota; Metazoa; Mollusca; Bivalvia; Unionida; Unionidae. The record is from the annotation of a GenBank genome assembly.